Non-coding RNA from Misgurnus anguillicaudatus (oriental weatherfish), 649 nucleotides. The record is from RefSeq and is a predicted model, not a curated record. Lineage: Eukaryota; Metazoa; Chordata; Actinopteri; Cypriniformes; Cobitidae.
UCGUCAAUCAAGAGAAAACGCCUCCCCGCCAAUGACGAGUAUUUCCGUCUUUCCGCAAUACCGCUAUUAUCCACUAGGUGGCGCCCUUCCGCCACUUUUUAAACCCGGAAGUAUUGCCCUCUGGCAAGCUGCUGCAUGUCCGUGUCUGUUUUAAAGAUCGCUCUGAAUGGGAUCUCUAUGAAAAGUCCGUCACAAAAAUGGAAUUAUCUCUGCUUUUGCUCAAAAUGUGGUGUUUUUGCAGAAACCUACCCAUAAUCAAAAGCUGAUUACAAAAGAUCUACUCAAGACUACCAAUCCAAAAUACAAAUCCAGAGUGACUUUUACAAGAGGACUGAUGUGAUUCCAGGGAAGAGUCAAUGGAUUUGGGAUAAUCUCAUCAUCAUCAGCAGGACAGCGAUGCUCGUUUCUCUCUACUCCCUGAAAAUUCCCCUCUCAACAAACUGUGUAAAAUGUCCUCCGCAUUGGACGAUAAAUGGAAUGGCCAAAUAUAUUUGUGGGCUAAAAACGACGAUGCUGACAGAGUGAGGAUGUGGACAGGAUUCAGAAAUGAGAAAUGAAGACACUCACUGUCUCUCCUUUGGCGCCUUCGUCUCCUUUCAUGCCCUGGUCUCCCGUCGCCCCUUCCAUGCCUCUUAUGCCCGCUGCUCCU